RNAcentral lists this ribosomal RNA (377 nucleotides) under uncultured Gammaproteobacteria bacterium. Its description in RNAcentral is "bacterial SSU rRNA". It matches the Rfam family "Bacterial small subunit ribosomal RNA", at positions 521 to 896 of the family's 1533-position model. Lineage: Bacteria; Pseudomonadati; Pseudomonadota; Gammaproteobacteria. The record is from RNAcentral.
UAAUACGGAGGGUGCAAGCGUUAAUCGGAAUUACUGGGCGUAAAGCGUUCGUAGGCGGUUAUUUAAGUUAGAUGUGAAAGCCCCGGGCUUAACCUGGGAACUGCAUUUAAAACUGGGUAACUAGAGUUUAGGAGAGGGAAGUGGAAUUUCAGGUGUAGCAGUGAAAUGCGUAGAGAUCUGAAGGAACACCAGUGGCGAAGGCGACUUCCUGGACUAAAACUGACGCUGAGGAACGAAAGCGUGGGUAGCAAACGGGAUUAGAUACCCCGGUAGUCCACGCCGUAAACGAUGUCAACUAGCCGUUGGGCCUGUAUACAGGUUUAGUGGCGGAGCUAACGUAUUAAGUUGACCGCCUGGGGAGUACGGCCGCAAGGUUA